RNAcentral lists this ribosomal RNA (567 nucleotides) under uncultured organism. RNAcentral describes it as "bacterial SSU rRNA". It matches the Rfam family "Bacterial small subunit ribosomal RNA", at positions 808 to 1387 of the family's 1533-position model. The record is from RNAcentral.
GAUGGGUGCUGGGUGUGGGGGGUGUAAAUUCCAAAUUCCCCGAAGCAAACGCGUUAAGCAUAUCGCUAGGGGAAUUCGGCCGCAAGGCUAAAAAUCAAAGGAAUUGACGUGGGGCCCGCACAAGCAGCGGAGCGUGUGGUUUAAUUCGGAUGAUACACGAAGAACCUUACCUGGGUUUGACAUGCACGGGGUAGGGAACCGAAAGGGGACCGACUUUCGGGAGCGUGCACAGGUUCUGCAUGGCUGUCGUCAGCUCGUGCCAUGAGGUGUUCGGUUAAGUUCCGUAACGAGCGCAACCCUUGGCGUUAGCUACAAGUGUCUAAGGUGACCGCCCGGGACAACUGGGAGGAAGGUGGGGAUGACUUCAAGUCAGCAUGGCCGUUAUAUCCAGGGCUACACACACCCUUCAAUGCCCGGUACAAUUGGUUGCGAAGUCGUGAGGCGGAGCCAAUCGUCAAAGCCGGUCUCAGUUCGAAUCGCAGUAUGCAAUUGGAGUGCAAGAAGUUGGAGUUGGUAGUAAUCGCAGGUCAGCUAUACUGCGGAGAAUACGUUCCCGGGCAUUGUACA